GAGGGUAUAGCUCAAGUGGCAGAGCACUUGUCUAGCAUGCAUGAGGUCCUAGGUUCAAUCCCCAGUACCUCCU
This 73-nucleotide transfer RNA is filed under the name Camelus bactrianus (Bactrian camel). It matches the Rfam family "tRNA". Rfam says of the family: Transfer RNA (tRNA) molecules are approximately 80 nucleotides in length. The record is from Rfam by way of RNAcentral. Lineage: Eukaryota; Metazoa; Chordata; Mammalia; Artiodactyla; Camelidae. RNAcentral also lists the same sequence under 2 other names.